Molecule: RNase P RNA, 354 nt
Filed under: Clostridiaceae bacterium
Lineage: Bacteria; Bacillati; Bacillota; Clostridia; Eubacteriales; Clostridiaceae
Description: RNase P RNA component class A
Rfam family: Bacterial RNase P class A
About the family: Ribonuclease P (RNase P) is a ubiquitous endoribonuclease, found in archaea, bacteria and eukarya as well as chloroplasts and mitochondria. Its best characterised activity is the generation of mature 5'-ends of tRNAs by cleaving the 5'-leader elements of precursor-tRNAs.
Source: RNAcentral
UGAGUAAGUCAGAUGAUCGCGGGUACAGUGCCGAAAGGCCGUACACGAGGAAAGUCCGGGCUCCGCAGGGCAGGGUGCCGGGUAACUCCCGGUCAAGGCGACUUGAAGGAUAGUGCAACAGAAAUAAACCGCCUUAUGGGCUUUUCCAUAAGGUAAGGGUGGAAAGGUGAGGUAAGAGCUCACCGGUUUCCUGGCGACAGGAAACGCUCUGUAAACCCCACCUGGAGCAACACCGCAAAAGAGGACAUAUUGGUUGCCCGCCAGUCCUCAGAGGUGGCUUGAGCCAUGUAGAAAUACAUGGCCUAGAUAGAUGAUCAUCUAAUACAGAACCCGGCUUACAGGCUUACUCAUUAU